GAAAAUGAAAGCAGGACUUCCAGGGGCCUGAACCCAGGCCAGGCAUUUCUCUAGGUGGACAUCAAGUUUUAAAGCAAAUGAAACUUGAACAUUUCAGAAUAUUGAGUCUCUGAUACUUGAACUCAAGACCCAAGCUAUAUUCCAGUGCUCUGGGAUAUCUUUGAUGGAUGUCAUGAUACAGACACAGGAUUUCUUUUCUCCUGGACACUUUCUACCUUUUCUCCUGGAGUGCAGUACAACCAUUGUUGUCAUCAUCCAGGGGUGCUUUCCUCUGGGCCCCAAGACAGUAAGCCUAU
This 296-nucleotide long non-coding RNA is filed under the name Fukomys damarensis (Damara mole-rat). Its description in RNAcentral is "lncRNA (ENSFDAG00000023928.1)". The record is from RNAcentral. Lineage: Eukaryota; Metazoa; Chordata; Mammalia; Rodentia; Bathyergidae.